AUGGGUCACCUCCCCACCCGUGUUUAUUUUACCUUGUUGCUUCGGCGGGCCCGCCUUUACUGGCCGCCGGGGGGCUCACGCCCCCGGGCCCGCGCCCGCCGAAGACACCUCCGAACUCUGUCUGAAGAUUGAAGUCUGAGUGAAAAUAUAAAUUAUUUAAAACUUUCAACAACGGAUCUCUUGGUUCCGGCAUCGAUGAAGAACGCAGCGAAAUGCGAUACGUAAUGUGAAUUGCAAAUUCAGUGAAUCAUCGAGUCUUUGAACGCACAUUGCGCCCCCUGGUAUUCCGGGGGGCAUGCCUGUCCGAGCGUCAUUGCUGCCCUCAAGCACGGCUUGUGUGUUGGGCCCCGUCCUCCGAUUCCGGGGGACGGGCCCGAAAGGCAGCGGCGGCACCGCGUCCGGUCCUCGAGCGUAUGGGGCUUUGUCACCCGCUCUGUAGGCCCGGCCGGCGCUUGCCGAUCAACCCAAAUUUUUAUCCAGGUUGACCUCGGAUCAGGUAGGGAUACCCGACUGAACUUAAGCAUAUCAAUAAGCGAGGGGAAAAGAAACCCUUGU
Molecule: ribosomal RNA, 555 nt
Filed under: Penicillium tricolor
Lineage: Eukaryota; Fungi; Ascomycota; Eurotiomycetes; Eurotiales; Aspergillaceae
Description: eukaryotic LSU rRNA
Rfam family: 5.8S ribosomal RNA (bases 161-313)
Source: RNAcentral